Brachypodium distachyon (stiff brome) is the source of this 907-nucleotide long non-coding RNA. RefSeq lists it as uncharacterized. The transcript has 3 exons. The record is from RefSeq and is a predicted model, not a curated record. Lineage: Eukaryota; Viridiplantae; Streptophyta; Magnoliopsida; Poales; Poaceae.
GGGAGAAUUGCCCUAAAAAAAAACACCUGAGGAAUUAGUGCCGCCGCCGGCGGCGGCUCCGGGGAUUGCCGCCGCAUACCUUUGCUCCAUCUACCCCCUCCUGCGGCGGUGUCGCUGAUUGGAUGAUGCUAUCCUCGCUUCUUCGGAGCAGCUAGCACGCGCUGCUUCCUCCUCCGCCGCCGGCUGCGCUCUCAAGCGGACCCCAGCCUUCUCCAGAAAUGUCUCCUCCGUCAGAGCCAAGCUCAUCCCCUCAGCCCGGACCAUGCCGACCUCGGCAAGCUCCUGGAGGUCUACAAACUCCGCGAGACUGCCACGACUGGUUCUCGGACGAGCAACAGCAGCAAGCUAUGGCCUAUGGGUUAACCCUGGGAACAAUUAGUUAGGUUCAGCGACUGCCCUGCUGCUUGAGCUCCGGACCGACCCUUGCCCCUGGGAGUUUCCAACAGGGCCUGCAGUUGCCGCCGACUUCCCGUCAGAAACUUCGCCGACCUCCGGCGACCACCACGUAGAUUCUGACAGAGUGGAUAGAUCCCCCUCAACUGGAGGGCGAGGCACUGCCGGCACGUACAGUCCUGGAGAUCAUUAGGUGCUGCUGUGGAUGUUACUGCUUCCAUUCCUGGCUGAGACCAGCUCUAGUCCCCCCUUUUGCUUAAUCCGUAUGAAUUUUAUGAUUAAAAGAUCAGCGGUUCAUCAAUUUCUGGAGUGAUCGAGGCAUCGAGCCGUAUAUCCCCUUUUGUAUUUUGCUCAGGAAGAGCUUUAGAAAUUGCUUACACAAAGUGUGGUCGAUCUGUGGCUAGGAGUACCCUUUCUCGAUUAGUUUCAUGAGAGAUUGAACUACUGUUUUGUGAACAUGAAGUGCUUGAUGAAUUGCUUCUUUUCAAGAUAUAAAACAAAAUACACCGUCUCA